CGAGAGUUUGAUCCUGGCUCAGGACGAACGCUGGCGGCGUGCCUAAUACAUGCAAGUCGAGCGGAGUUUUGAAAAGCUUGCUUUUCAAAACUUAGCGGCGGACGGGUGAGUAACACGUGGGCAACCUGCCCUUGAGACGGGGAUAACUCCGGGAAACCGGAGCUAAUACCGGAUAACACAUAUCUUCGCAUGAGGAUAUGUUAGAAGGUGGCUUUUAGCUACCACUCAAGGAUGGGCCCGCGGCGCAUUAGCUAGUUGGUGAGGUAACGGCUCACCAAGGCGACGAUGCGUAGCCGACCUGAGAGGGUGAUCGGCCACACUGGGACUGAGACACGGCCCAGACUCCUACGGGAGGCAGCAGUAGGGAAUCUUCCGCAAUGGACGAAAGUCUGACGGAGCAACGCCGCGUGAGUGAUGAAGGUUUUCGGAUCGUAAAGCUCUGUUGUUAGGGAAGAACAAGUACCUGUURAAUAAGCAGGUACCUUGACGGUACCUAACCAGAAAGCCACGGCUAACUACGUGCCAGCAGCCGCGGUAAUACGUAGGUGGCAAGCGUUGUCCGGAAUUAUUGGGCGUAAAGCGCGCGCAGGCGGUUCCUUAAGUCUGAUGUGAAAGCCCACGGCUCAACCGUGGAGGGUCAUUGGAAACUGGGGAACUUGAGUGCAGAAGAGGAGAGCGGAAUUCCACGUGUAGCGGUGAAAUGCGUAGAGAUGUGGAGGAACACCAGUGGCGAAGGCGGCUCUCUGGUCUGUAACUGACGCUGAGGCGCGAAAGCGUGGGGAGCGAACAGGAUUAGAUACCCUGGUAGUCCACGCCGUAAACGAUGAGUGCUAGAGUGUUAGAGGGUUUCCGCCCUUUAGUGCUGCAGCAAACGCAUAAGCACUCCGCUU
This 890-nucleotide ribosomal RNA is filed under the name Priestia endophytica. RNAcentral describes it as "bacterial SSU rRNA". The record is from RNAcentral. Lineage: Bacteria; Bacillati; Bacillota; Bacilli; Caryophanales; Bacillaceae.